Molecule: ribosomal RNA, 427 nt
Filed under: uncultured bacterium
Lineage: Bacteria
Description: partial 16S ribosomal RNA
Rfam family: Bacterial small subunit ribosomal RNA
Source: RNAcentral
UGGGGAAUAUUGGACAAUGGGCGAAAGCCUGAUCCAGCCAUGCCGCGUGUGUGAAGAAGGUCUUCGGAUUGUAAAGCACUUUAAGUUGGGAGGAAGGGCAGUAAGUUAAUACCUUGCUGUUUUGACGUUACCGACAGAAUAAGCACCGGCUAACUCUGUGCCAGCAGCCGCGGUAAUACAGAGGGUGCAAGCGUUACUCGGAAGUACUGGGCGUAAAGCGCGCGUAGGUGGUUUGUUAAGUUGGAUGUGAAAGCCCCGGGCUCAACCUGGGAACUGCAUCCAAAACUGGCAAGCUAGAGUACGGUAGAGGGUGGUGGAAUUUCCUGUGUAGCGGUGAAAUGCGUAGAUAUAGGAAGGAACACCAGUGGCGAAGGCGACCACCUGGACUGAUACUGACACUGAGGUGCGAAAGCGUGGGGAGCAAACA